This 1107-nucleotide unclassified non-coding RNA is filed under the name Hevea brasiliensis (rubber tree). Lineage: Eukaryota; Viridiplantae; Streptophyta; Magnoliopsida; Malpighiales; Euphorbiaceae. The record is from RNAcentral.
GCAGAUUGAUGGAUGACCUUAUGCAGAUCACAAGAAAACUUAUUAGAGAACUUAAGUGCGACGGAUACACAAAGGAUAAGCCAAAAACCAGAAAAGAAAAACUAACUUCAACUUUAAAGCUGUCUGCUAAACCUAAAAACACAUUUUGAUCUACCCUUAUCUGUACAAUAAUCUAAUCCUAGUGGCACCAAUCAUAGGAAAAAGAAAAACAAAAACUUUAUAUGUAAGAACAAAAAGGAGGAAAAAAAAUACUUGACAUGAGACCAUGUCAGAAAUGGUUCCACUUAGCUAAGGCAUGCCCCAACUGCUAAAGCUUUAACUUGCAGCAACCCUUGUAGUGAUCAACAGAACACAGGCUUGUUUUGGGUAAAACUGGGCAUGCCAUUGUAUCCCCUUGCAAUGUUUCAGGUCAAGAAGAGCAAAGGCAAUGGAAAAAUAAAAUGCUCUUAUAGGUUGUAUUUUCAAGCCUUCUGAAAUGUGCGCGAAGAAACCCCAUGAAGGAGCCUGACAAACCCCAGAAAACUUAGCUUGCCAUCUUCAUGUCUUAUCCAGUCUUGGAGAACCACAUGAACUGGUACUGAUGGGCUAAGACCAAGCUCCUGUAAAUACAAAUGGAAAGGAAAUUUAUUAUUUGGAACUUGGAUAGAAACUGAAGAUGACAGAAUGCAUAUUUUUUUUUAUUCGUUCAAUCAUUGAUAUACACUUGCAAGUUGUAAGAGUAUGCAUGAUUGGAAACUUUAAGCCAAAGUCCUUGCUUGAUCAUCCUUAUUUACAAGGACAACUUGCAACUCAAAGAUCUGAAUCAAAGUGUUCCUGAAAGACUAAUGUUAACUUGGACAAUUUAGUCCAUGUUGAAGAUCAGCUGCCAGUCAAAUCUGGGGCUAUUUAGAUUUAAUAAUUAUUUCAAUCCUGAGCCCAUUCUCAUUCUUCUGUGAUGCUUUACCCCAAUACUUGUAGCUCUACAAUGCACUACUUCCGGUUAAUAAUUUGCCCAUGUAUAUGGAAAUUUGAGGCACACAGUGAUAUAAAAGAACACAUGCUACAGACACAACUACACCCAUGAAAAGAGAAAGGGGGCAAGGGGGGGUGUGGGGUGGGGUGUUGGGG